UACGGGGGGGAGCAAGCGUUGUUCGGAUUUACUGGGCGUAAAGGGCGCGUAGGCGGCCACCGCAAGUCAAUUGUGAAAUCUCCGGGCUUAACUCGGAAAGGUCAACUGAUACUGCGGGGCUAGAGUGCGGAAGGGGCAACUGGAAUUCUCGGUGUAGAGGUGAAAUUCGUAGAUAUCGGGAGGAACACCAGUGGCGAAGGCGGCGACCUGGGCCAAUACUGACGCUGAGGUGCGAAGCGUGGGAG
RNAcentral lists this ribosomal RNA (245 nucleotides) under uncultured bacterium. RNAcentral's name for it is "partial 16S ribosomal RNA". It matches the Rfam family "Bacterial small subunit ribosomal RNA", at positions 524 to 767 of the family's 1533-position model. The record is from RNAcentral.